ACAAGCGGUGGAUGAUGUGGAUUAAUUCGAUGCAACGCGAAAACCUUACUACCCUUGACAUGUCCGGAAUCCUGCAGAGAUGCGGGAGUGCCGAAAGGGAAUCGGAACACAGGUGCUGCAUGGCUGUCGUCAGCUCGUGUCGUGAGAUGUUGGGUUAAGUCCCGCAACGAGCGCAACCCUUAUCAUUAGUUGCUACGCAAGGGCACUCUAAUGAGACUGCCGGUGACAAACCGGAGGAAGGUGGGGAUGACGUCAAGUCCUCAUGGCCCUUAUGGGUAGGGCUUCACACGUCAUACAAUGGUCGGUACAGAGGGUUGCCAAGCCGCGAGGUGGAGCCAAUCCCAGAAAGCCGAUCGUAGUCCGGAUUGUUCUCUGCAACUCGAGAGCGUGAAGUCGGAAUCGCUAGUAAUCGCGGAUCAGCAUGUCGCGGUGAAUACGUUCCCGGGUCUU
RNAcentral lists this ribosomal RNA (450 nucleotides) under uncultured Thiobacillus sp. RNAcentral's name for it is "bacterial SSU rRNA". It matches the Rfam family "Bacterial small subunit ribosomal RNA", at positions 925 to 1382 of the family's 1533-position model. The record is from RNAcentral. Lineage: Bacteria; Pseudomonadati; Pseudomonadota; Betaproteobacteria; Nitrosomonadales; Thiobacillaceae.